GACGAACGCUGGCGGCGUGCUUAACACAUGCAAGUCGAACGGAAAGGCCUCUUUCGGGGGGUACUCGAGUGGCGAACGGGUGAGUAACACGUGAGUAACCUGCCCUUGACUUUGGGAUAACUUCAGGAAACUGGGGCUAAUACCGGAUAGGAGCUCCUGCUGCAUGGUGGGGGUUGGAAAGUUUCGGCGGUUGGGGAUGGACUCGCGGCUUAUCAGCUUGUUGGUGGGGUAGUGGCUUACCAAGGCUUUGACGGGUAGCCGGCCUGAGAGGGAGACCGGCCACAUUGGGACUGAGAUACGGCCCAGACUCCUACGGGAGGCAGCAGUGGGGAAUAUUGCACAAUGGGUGGAAGCCUGAUGCAGCAACGCCGUGUGCGGGAUGACGGCCUUCGGGUUGUAAACCGCUUUCGCUCAUGACGAAGCUUUGUGUGACGGUAGUGGGUAAAGAAGCACCGGCUAACUACGUGCCAGCCGCCGCCGUAAAAC
RNAcentral lists this ribosomal RNA (486 nucleotides) under uncultured bacterium. RNAcentral's name for it is "bacterial SSU rRNA". It matches the Rfam family "Bacterial small subunit ribosomal RNA", at positions 28 to 526 of the family's 1533-position model. The record is from RNAcentral.